Molecule: unclassified non-coding RNA, 220 nt
Filed under: rhizosphere metagenome
Description: partial ribosomal RNA internal transcribed spacer region
Source: RNAcentral
GUAGGUGAACCUGCGGAAGGAUCAUUAAAGAAUCGCCCCGUUUUUUGAAAUGGGUUCUAUUCCCAAACCGUGUCUACAUACCUUUGUUGCUUUGGCAGGCCGCCGCUUCGGCGUUGGCUCCGGCUGACUGUGCCUGCCAGAGGACCCAAACUCGUUUGUUUAGUGAUGUCUGAGUACUAUAUAAUAGUUAAAACUUUCAACAACGGAUCUCUUGGUUCUG